Molecule: ribosomal RNA, 463 nt
Filed under: Vreelandella stevensii
Lineage: Bacteria; Pseudomonadati; Pseudomonadota; Gammaproteobacteria; Oceanospirillales; Halomonadaceae
Description: partial 16S ribosomal RNA
Rfam family: Bacterial small subunit ribosomal RNA
Source: RNAcentral
CCUACGGGGGGCAGCAGUGGGGAAUAUUGGACAAUGGGCGAAAGCCUGAUCCAGCCAUGCCGCGUGUGUGAAGAAGGCCUUCGGGUUGUAAAGCACUUUCAGUGGGGAAGAAAGCCUUGGGGCUAAUACCCUCGAGGAAGGACAUCACCCACAGAAGAAGCACCGGCUAACUCCGUGCCAGCAGCCGCGGUAAUACGGAGGGUGCGAGCGUUAAUCGGAAUUACUGGGCGUAAAGCGCGCGUAGGCGGUCUGAUAAGCCGGUUGUGAAAGCCCCGGGCUCAACCUGGGAACGGCAUCCGGAACUGUCAGGCUAGAGUGCAGGAGAGGAAGGUAGAAUUCCCGGUGUAGCGGUGAAAUGCGUAGAGAUCGGGAGGAAUACCAGUGGCGAAGGCGGCCUUCUGGACUGACACUGACGCUGAGGUGCGAAAGCGUGGGUAGCAAACAGGAUUAGAUACCCUGUAGC